Molecule: ribosomal RNA, 301 nt
Filed under: uncultured bacterium
Lineage: Bacteria
Description: partial 16S ribosomal RNA
Rfam family: Bacterial small subunit ribosomal RNA
Source: RNAcentral
CAGUCGCCACGGAAUACGUAGGUGGCAAGCGUUGUCCGGAAUUAUUGGGCGUAAAGGGCUCGCAGGCGGUUUCUUAAGUCUGAUGUGAAAGCCCCCGGCUCAACCGGGGAGGGUCAUUGGAAACUGGGAAACUUGAGUGCAGAAGAGGAGAGUGGAAUUCCACGUGUAGCGGUGAAAUGCGUAGAGAUGUGGAGGAACACCAGUGGCGAAGGCGACUCUCUGGUCUGUAACUGACGCUGAGGAGCGAAAGCGUGGGGAGCGAACAGGAUUAGAUACCCCGGUAGUCCCUGUCUCUUAUACA